Molecule: non-coding RNA, 1447 nt
Organism: Lactuca sativa (garden lettuce)
Lineage: Eukaryota; Viridiplantae; Streptophyta; Magnoliopsida; Asterales; Asteraceae
Source: RefSeq, a predicted model, not a curated record
UUGCGCAGAACGAAGAGGAACACGGUAAGUUUUCCGAGAUCCUGAUUGUUCUAUCUAUCUACCCACUCCGAUUCUCUCACCUAAUAUCUUCCUGAUUGUGAUGAUAUCUGCUAUCUGUAUUUGCAAGGACAAUCAGGUCAAUUUGGUCCCCAUUGGAACAACAAAAGGGGAAAAGUUGGCUUAAAUUUCAUAUGUUUAUCUAAAUUCAAACAAACAUAGAAAGAAAAGAAGUGGUUGGCAGGCGAUGGGGAUGGUGCCAACGUCUACCCUGAGUUCAUCGAUCCUAUGAUACCGAUUGACACCGAAGAAGUUGAGGAAAACGAUUCUGAUUGUCAUUCAGGCAGUUGUUUGAAUAGGACAUCAAGAAGGUGUAAAAGGGUAUUGGAAGGGCACUAAGGAUGAUAGAAGAUUAUGUGGAUCUCAAAUCAGGUGCUAAAAUGUCUGUUUUUAUCAGUUUUUUUGGCAUAUUUUACUGUUCUUGUAUGUAAUGAUUUUAGAAGCUCUAACCGAAUUAAAAAGAUAUGUUGACUAUUGGCUUAGGUUUCUAUUUUUUGUGUAUUUUCAACUGUAGUUGGAUGAAUAUGGGGAAGAAAACGAAGUAUAUGGUCUUGAAAUGCAUCCAAAUGGAACAAAAAAGCUUAUGGAAGUAGAAAUUUAUCAAUCUUUUCUGUAUUUUUCUAAUAUUCCAGAUUUCGUGUCGGUCUUUGAACUUUCCAUAUUGAUUUGCAAACCAGUGAUGAUUCGAGUAAUGGGAAGUAGGGCGAUGGAAAAACCUGCAAAGGAUGCAAAACACUUGCCAAAAGGGACUCAACUUCCUAGGUGACUUUAUUGAUCUAAGUCCAUUUUUUUCGUCUACAUACAUGCUGUCUAUUUUCUUUGUUCAGGAGCAACCCUCAGGUAAUCCCAUGGAGGCUGUCCCAUAUUAGACGGGGUAUUCAGGUUUCAUACAUUUACCACUUUUAACCUUUGUGAAUUGGAUACUAAAUCUAGAUGAGAUUAGAUGUUUUAAAUCUCUGCAAUCAAAUGACGUAGCUUUCUCUUUGCUUUAUGAUUUCCUCUCAAUUUCAAUAGAAAUAUUGUUGGUUCAUGUAACUAUACAUGUGUCAAACGUGAUAGGUCUUUUCUUGGCAGUUCGUAGUAUGAAUGAUCGAAAUUAGUGCAGUCAUAAGGAAAUGAAGAAUUGGUUUGCCAUGUCUCUUCUUUGGACUAAAAAUAAUAAUAAAAGGUAUUAUGGUCUUUUUUGGUUACACUUAAUUGUGAUAGAUAUUUUCAAGACAGUGUGAAGCUUCGAGUCCAUGAUUGGCAUGGGAAAAGGAGUCUUUGUUGUUUUAAAGAUUUGGUGCAAUAAAAGUUUUAAGGGGUAUUUUUGUAACAUGGAACAGUGAAAGAGUUAAAAGGGCAUAUUAGCUUUUUAUUUUAACGUAAGAGAAAGAUGGUGGAAAAAGAC